GAUGAACGCUGGCGGCGUGCCUAAUACAUGCAAGUCGAGCGAACAGACGAGGAGCUUGCUCCUCUGACGUUAGCGGCGGACGGGUGAGUAACACGUGGAUAACCUACCUAUAAGACUGGGAUAACUUCGGGAAACCGGAGCUAAUACCGGAUAAUAUAUUGAACCGCAUGGUUCAAUAGUGAAAGACGGUUUUGCUGUCACUUAUAGAUGGAUCCGAGCCGCAUUAGCUAGUUGGUAAGGUAACGGCUUACCAAGGCAACGAUGCGUAGCCGACCUGAGAGGCGGAUCGGCCACACUAGAACUGAGACACGGUCCAGACUCCUACGGGAGGCAGCAGUAGGGAAUCUUACGCAAUGGGCGAAAGCCUGACGGAGCAACGCCGCGUGAGUGAUGAAGGUCUUCGGAUCGUAAAACUCUGUUAUUAGGGAAGAACAAAUGUGUAAGUAACUAUGCACGUCUUGACGGUACCUAAUCAGAAAGCCACGGCUAACUACGUG
This 497-nucleotide ribosomal RNA is filed under the name uncultured bacterium. RNAcentral describes it as "partial 16S ribosomal RNA". It matches the Rfam family "Bacterial small subunit ribosomal RNA", at positions 28 to 507 of the family's 1533-position model. The record is from RNAcentral.